UAAUACGUAGGGAGCAAGCGUUGUCCGGAAUCAUUGGGCGUAAAGCGCGCGUAGGUGGCCCGGUAAGUCCGCUCUGAAAGUCACAGGCUCAACCUGUGAAAGCGGGUGGAUACUGCCGGGCUAGAGUCCGGAAGAGGCGAGUGGAAUUCCUGGUGUAGCGGUGGAAUGCGCAGAUAUCAGGAGGAACACCAACGGCGAAGGCAGCUCGCUGGGACGGUACUGACACUGAGGCGCGAAAGCGUGGGGA
RNAcentral lists this ribosomal RNA (247 nucleotides) under uncultured bacterium. RNAcentral describes it as "partial 16S ribosomal RNA". It matches the Rfam family "Bacterial small subunit ribosomal RNA", at positions 521 to 767 of the family's 1533-position model. The record is from RNAcentral.